ACAGAGCGAGACUCCGUCUCAAAAAAAAAAAAAAAAAAAGAGAAGACAGCAUCUGAUUUCUACAUUCAUUCAAUAACUGUCUAGUGUCCUGACUAUGAUGUAGGAGAAAUAAAGAUGAAUAUAACUCCCCCCUUGUUCUUGAAGACCCUAUAAUCUGGUGGGAGAAGCAGAAUAUAAACCAGAUUGAAAUAAAUACUGUGAUAAAACACACAGGUUAAGAAUGUGCAUGGGAAGAAGUGAUUAACACACUAGUGAAGUACAAAGGGUUUUAUGGAGGACUGAAUAUUUUAACUGCGGCUUGAAGAUUGAGUACAAUUUUGGUAGAGAAGGAAAGAGCAUAUAACUGAAGAAAAAACACAAAAGUAUAUUGUAUGACUUGGGAAAAUAAAGUAGUCUAGAGUGGCUCUGUUAAUAGGGUUUGUAAAGAGGUGUAGUGGUAUAUAAUGCAGGAAAAGUAGGUUAGGGCAAAAAGAAAACAGAUCAGUGCCUGAUAUGAAUUAUACACUGGGCCAAAAGUUUUCAUAUUUGCUAUUUCAUUUAAUUUCUAUAUAGCCAUGCAAAAUAGGUGUUUUGACAUGGGGGGAAAACAGUCUCAGAGAGUUUUACUAAUUUGUUCAAAGUCUCACAGAUAAUAAGUAAUGGAGCUGAAAUUUCAAACCAGGUUGUUAUUUAACUCCGAAGCUGAAGCUAUUUGUAAUUUGGUAACUAUCUCUAAAUUAAAAAAAAAAAAAAAAAAAAAAAAAGGAAAAAAGGUUAUAUUCAUUAUAGGACUUUAAAAAAUAUAAAGUACUUUCACACGUAUUUGGUCUUUAUAACUAGUCAUUAAUCCCAGUUGAUGGAUGGGAAAAUUGAAGCCCAGUGAGAUUAUUCAAGGUCAUGGAGUGAAUAAGUGGCAGAUUGGAAAUGCAACCCAAGCUUUCGGACUGCAAAGUUUUGAGCCUUUCCAACAUCCUUUUAAGAAGUCUGGAGAUCAUUUUUAAGCAGUGGAAAGAGUUAGUGAACAUUUUUGAGAAGGGGAUGACGUAAACAAUAAUGUUUAAAAAGAUUAGUUUGAGUUGGCAUAGAAGAUGGUCUGGAAUGCACAGAGACAAGAACGUUAAUUAUUAAGCUAUUGUAAAAACACAGUAAUGAUGUAGACCUGAACAAAGAAAGUUUGGUGAUAAACAUAGAAGAAACAAAUUAGAGGCAUUUGGAAACAGAAUUUACAGGAUUUAGCUUUUGACUGCAUCUACCGUGAGAUAGGAGGACCAUGCCUAAAUAAUAAUGGAGGUGGGGACAAUGAUAGCUAAGAAGAGGUAGAUUUGGAUGGAGAGAAAUAGCCAUCCAAAUGGAUGUGUCCUGUGAGAGCUGGACAGGGAGAUGUGGGAUCAUAUAGUAGGGCUAUGUAACAAGUCCCUCUAUAGUAGGGUUUGUUUAAGCUAAACUGUAAGUACACAGAGCCAGUGAAGGUCUGGUUUAUUUCUGCAUCCCCAGAGCCAGGACAGUUCUUGGCACUCAGUAAAUAUUUGUUAACUUUGAAACUGGAUGAAGAUCUUUAAAGAUGGUAGAAUUUUUUGAAAAAUGUUCAAAGACAGAAAGCAAAAAGAAGAAAAUAUUUGAGGAAAGAUUUGAUAGAAACCAAGAAGCAUUAUGUAAAGGAAGUUGUGGGGAGAGAGUUGCAAGAGUGUGAGCUGCCACAGAGAGGCAUUGUUGGAAGGGGAUCAAAGAUAGUGUUACUGAAGUAAAAGUUCAGGAAGAGAGAUCGGAAGUCAACUUGCAAAGAACUGAAGAGGAAUGAGGGGGAGAACUGGAACCAGGCAGCAGAGAGUACUUUUUCAAAAAGUUUGGUGGUAAAGGAAAAGGGAGCAAUGAGAAAACACCUUAAGGAAGAAGCAGGGUCAAGGAGGAAUUGCAAAGGCACGUGUAGCUCAAGGGAAAGGAGCCAGAGAAGAGAGGUAAAUUGAAAAUACAAGCAAAAUGAAGCUCAAGGAAAUGGAGGAGGAUGAGAUUGAAAAGACACAGAUGGAGUGAUCAGGAUUAGAUAUAUAGAUCUGAGCAUGUUUCACAGAAAGGACAAGUUGAAGCCAAAUUUUAGGUGAGUGAUUAUAGAGAAUGCUUGCAGAGGGAGAAGAGCAGAAGACUAAGGAAAUCUUUAGAGAAUGACCACAGGCAAGGGCAAAGGAGGGGUCAAAGAAACAGCAAGAGAAGUUGUGUAAAUUCACUGUCAGAAAAACAGAUACACAACCAACCAAGUUUGAGAAAAAGUAACAGGCCAAAGUGUCAAGUGUUGUAGAAGAGAAUGAGAACUGGGAAUAAAUGGUAUAUAUCCAGUGAUAUUUGUACAAGCAGUUCAUGAACAAAAAACUUAGAAUUCUUUUUUUGGUGUGUUCAGUUAAAGCUGAUACAUUCCCAUGCAACUAACUCAGAUUUUGAGGUGAAUAACAAAUCUCUUUAUCUAUAGAUGAUAAGUUUAAAUUGUGAUGCCAUUUUUCUUUCAAAUGGUGUGAAUGUUGAAUCUAAUUCAGUCCUGCUAAUUUUCUUUAAAAAGCAUUUGAAGCAGAUGGAACUAGAAAGCCUACUUCUGUAAAUUCCAUUUACUCAUUCAUGCAUUGCUUUCAUUCAAGAAAUGUUUAUUAGUGUCUACCAUAUACUUUGCUAGUUACUGGGGUUAUGAGGGGAUAUGGCAAUAAACAAGAAAGACAAUGUUUACUGCCUGAAAAAGUAAUACCGAAAGAAGAAAAACCUUUGCUAUAUUGUUGCUAAUAGAAAAAAAUUAAUUUAACUUUUAAAAACAAUUGAAACAGAUUAAUUACAGUAAAUCUAUUUGAAUAACUUACAUAGGCAUGAAAAUACUUAUGAAGAUUAUAUAUGAAUAUGGUAAUUUUCCUCUAAUAUUAAAACAAAAUACAACAUUGUUAUGAGAACAAUGUGAAAAUACAUAUGUACAUGGAGAAAGGCUCAAUAGAAAUGCAAACGUGUGUGCUAAAAUAAAGAAGUUAUUGGUGGUUUUACUUUUGAUUUUCCCUUAAAUUUUUUUAAAUUUUAAAUUAUUCUUUUUAAAAAUGUCUUCUACUAAUCUUAAAACAGUAAGUAAUGAGAAAUAUUAUUUCUACGGAUUUAUAAAUAUAUCCAUUCUUCACAUUCACAGUGGGAUUUGUAAAAAGCAAUCCUUGGAUUUAAAACCUUUUUUUUUUUUAGCAAACAAAGCUCUCAAGUUGGUGAUCCUCAGGUAAAAUCUAACCCACAGAUAUUGCACCAGUUAUUUAUUGCCACAAAAAUGCUGCCUAAGAAGCCACCCAAAGGGCAGUGGGUUAAAACAAUAACUAUACCUUUUUUCUUAGGAGUCUCUGCAUUAGUUGGACAGCUCCUCUGGAAUUAUCUUCUAAGUCAGCUGUGGGUUGGGUAGGUGGCUCUGCUGAUUUUUUGCUGGACUUCCACAUUUGGAACCAGUUGGCUUUCAUCAGCUCUAGAAAGGGUGUGGCUGUUUUACAUUGGCUGUUUUCCUCACAUUCCUCCAGCAGGUACUGUAAUAAAGAACUGGAGAAAUAAAGUCAGAUGGGAAGUUGCCCCUACUAUCAAGGAGCUUACCAUCUAAUGGGGGAGAUAGGCAAGUAAACCAAAGACUACACAGUACAGUAUGGUAAGUGCCAUGAUUUUGAUAUGACAGGCCCUAAGGGCACAGUGGAAGACCUUCCAAAUCAAAGCAAGUAAGUAUGGGUUGACAAUGGUAAGUAUCAUAGUGGAAGUAUUCUUGAACAAGGUUUCAGGAAGAAGAAGAAGGGAAUUUCAUGCAGGGAAACAACCAGAGCUCAGUGAGUCAAAAUAUCAUAGCAUUCUUGGUAAGCCCAAUUUUUUUUUUUUUUAUUUUGCUAUUUUGGU
Macaca mulatta (Rhesus monkey) is the source of this 3858-nucleotide non-coding RNA. The record is from RefSeq and is a predicted model, not a curated record. Lineage: Eukaryota; Metazoa; Chordata; Mammalia; Primates; Cercopithecidae.